This 324-nucleotide unclassified non-coding RNA is filed under the name uncultured fungus. Its description in RNAcentral is "partial contains 5.8S ribosomal RNA and internal transcribed spacer 2". The stretch from base 1 to 133 matches the Rfam family "5.8S ribosomal RNA", at positions 22 to 154 of the family's 154-position model. Lineage: Eukaryota; Fungi. The record is from RNAcentral.
UGGUUCUGGCAUCGAUGAAGAACGCAGCGAAAUGCGAUAAGUAAUGUGAAUUGCAGAAUUUAGUGAAUCAUCGAAUCUUUGAACGCACAUUGCGCCCAUUAGUAUUCUAGUGGGCAUGCCUGUUCGAGCGUCAUUUCAACCCUUAAGCCUCUGUUGCUUAGUGUUGGGAGCCUACGGUAACGUAGCUCCCCAAAUAUAGUGGCGGAGUCGGUUCACACUCUAGACGUAGUAGAUUUUAUCUCGCCUAUGAGUUGGACCGGUCCCUCGCCGUAAAACCCCUAUUUUCUAAAGGUUGACCUCGGAUCAGGUAGGAAUACCCGCUGA